CGGUUGGGUCCUUAGUGGCGCACGGGUGCGUAACGCGUGGGAAUCUGCCCCUUGGUUCGGAAUAACAGUUAGAAAUGACUGCUAAUACCGGAUGAUGACGUAAGUCCAAAGAUUUAUCGCCGAGGGAUGAGCCCGCGUAGGAUUAGCUAGUUGGUGUGGUAAGAGCGCACCAAGGCGACGAUCCUUAGCUGGUCUGAGAGGAUGAUCAGCCACACUGGGACUGAGACACGGCCCAGACUCC
This 241-nucleotide ribosomal RNA is filed under the name uncultured bacterium. Its description in RNAcentral is "partial 16S ribosomal RNA". It matches the Rfam family "Bacterial small subunit ribosomal RNA", at positions 81 to 339 of the family's 1533-position model. The record is from RNAcentral.